AGAGUGAACGCUGGCGGCAGGCCUAAUACAUGCAAGUCGAACGGCAGCACGGCAGAGCUUGCUCUGUGGGUGGCGAGUGGCGGACGGGUGAGGAAUACAUGGGAAUCUGCCCAGUCGUGGGGGAUAACGUAGGGAAACUUACGCUAAUACCGCAUGCGCCCUUCGGGGGAAAGCCGGGGACCUUCGGGCCUGGCGCGAUUGGAUGAGCCCAUGUCGGAUUAGCUAGUUGGCGGGUAACGCCCACAGGCGACGAUCCGUAGCUGGUCUGGAGAGGAUGAUCAGCCACACUGGAACUGAGACACGGUCAGACUCCGAGGGAGCAGCAGUAGGAAUAGUGGACAAGUGGGCACGAACGCCGUGAUG
RNAcentral lists this ribosomal RNA (363 nucleotides) under uncultured soil bacterium. RNAcentral describes it as "bacterial SSU rRNA". It matches the Rfam family "Bacterial small subunit ribosomal RNA", at positions 26 to 396 of the family's 1533-position model. The record is from RNAcentral.